AAAUAAAAUCAGAAAGAACUAGGAGGACAGGGAAAAGAAGAAACCUGGUGCAGAAAUAAAAUUCUUCCUAUAAGUCUCCAUCUCUUACUUAGUUACCUUAAUUAGCCAUCUUCUAGUUUCAGUCCUCUCUUUAUAAAAAAAAUUAAAAAGAAGAGAAGGAAGGGACCAAAGAAAGAGGGAAGAAAAGAAGUUACCCAAGAAAGUUAUGAGUGUGAACAACUGGUUUUGAUCUGGUUUUGUUGUCUUCUAAAACCCUCUGUGACCUGGAUCCCUUCCCAGCUCAAGUUGGGAAGCAGAAAAGAAAUCCAACUGGUUUCAGUUGUUCAGGAUUUGGGACAAGCAUCUGGCUGAUGGACGCUUUGCCUGCUCUCUGAUCUUAGUCUUCUUUAAAACAUCAAUGCCUUUGCCUUUCUCGCUCUCUCUCGGGAUGGCAGUUUGGUGCUGUGUUUCUUGAUCAGAGGCACAGAAGGCCAAAGGUGGAACAAACAGAACCUAGAGGUUAUCCGGUUCAACUCGUUUCUGUUAUAAAUGAGAAAACCAAAGAAAAAAAGAGAGGAAAUGAAUUGUCCAAAGUCGCCCAAGCUCAUUUGUGAUGGAGAACAGGACCCAAAGCUUCAAAUUGCAAGGAAAAUCUACUCAAAGCCAAGCCUUCCCUCCCAAAAACAACACAGGCAGGGAUUUUCGAUGUGCUGAGAGAUGAAGGGUUUGGGUCUCUACGCCACGGUCCAGCCGGUGAGACGCACAGACAAGAUCCACACCUGAGACAGCACCUAUGGCUCCUCCCUGCUUCUUCUCUUUGCUCUACACACCUCCCACUCUGGCCAAGGCUCUGGGCUUCCUGACAUAUUUUAAAUGGCUUUGCUCUCCCACUUGCCAACCUGACAACACCCAGCCCACAGGUCCAGGAAUUCCACAAUUGCUUGGAGAUGUGGCAAGUCCAUCUUGAACUGGGGGCCUCUGUCAUGGGCACACACACCACUCAGAGAGGGCACUCUGCUGCCCCUCACCCAAGAGGAGGAUUGGUUAACACCAUCUGAGCCUGUCGGGUAGCAGGGUGAGCUCUAGGCCAGGAGUCAGAAGAGGAAAUCCCUGGAGCCAGCACCCACGGACCCUCCCUCCCUGUGAGGGCCGGUGACUCAGUUCCUCUUUCCAAACCUGUUUCCCCACCCAUGAAAUGUGGGAGAGCCUUCACUCUCUCAACCAGUAUUGACCACAUGCCUGCUCUCUGGUGAAGUGGUUCUCCCUGACCAAGUUCACAGCUCAAGGGAUGGCAUGGAAGCCCCAUCAGUGGAAUUCACUCUGGAGUCAGCAGGGUAUCUGAUGUCAAAGGCAGUCCUGCCUCUGGAAGGAAGAUGAAUGAGAGGUGUUCUCACCCCUCGUAAGCUCGCAGUGCAGCGAAGGGAAGUGUGAUGGCCAAGGAUCACCGCCUAACAGCGUGGUGAAUGCCCCGUUAGCUCUUCCCUGCUGUGACGUGGGCACAGAGAGGCCGGUCCUCCAGUCUGUGCCCCUGAAGAAGUCACAGCUCAGUUGAAUUUUGAAGGCUGAGCACUGAGCAGGGAAAGGGAGAUGCAGAGAAGAAUACGAAAAGGAGAGAGUUUGGUGGGCUGGAGGGUUUCAAGUAAUUCCUGGAGGACGAGGCGCUGCGGGGUGAGAAGGGCAGGCAGGGAAGAGUAGCAGAGCCUUUUUCAGAUGAUGAAGCUGAGGCUCAGAAAGGAGACACUUGGGCAAGAUGACAUUAGUGAGUGAGAUAACAUGAUCCCAGAUUCUGGGGAUUAGCACAUGGGCGCUGCCCGGGACCAUCAUUCUGUCGAGGACAUAAAGGAACAGUUAGAAGCUUUGGGAGGACAAAGAAAGCCACGGUGAAUUCCAGCAAGAUGCUUGGGGUCAGAAGGGCGUCACAAAGGAGGCAGCAUUUGGACUGAUCCUGAAGGACAGGCUCAUUCCCUUCGUAAGAGAGCUGGGAGGAAGGAAGCCGUCUGACCUAUUUAGGAAUCCUGUUUGUGAUACUUCACGCAGAAUUGUCUGCCGUUGUUAGUUUCACGUCAUCAGAGGGAAGUAAUGAAUAUUUUAUUUAUCGCCCGAGUGUAAUAGCCAAGGCAGAAAGAAGUGAAAUGCUUUGCUUUGGACAUGAAUCUGGGGUGAAAAUGAAAGAAGAUCAAUUUAAUUCCAUUGGGUAAUAAUUCACCCAGGGUCUGUAAUGUGCCAGGCUGUGCUAGAUACUUCGGGGGCAUCUAAAUUAAUAAGACCAUGUCCUUCCCAGAAAAAUCAUGAUGAGUGUCACGGAUGGUCAUGCCAGCAGUCUGCCACGUCCUCUGGGUCACACAGGGUGUGCAGACAUGCACAUAACGAGGAACGGUGGUAUGCUAGUUUGCACUGUAAUGGGAAUACAGAGGACAGGAGUAGUCAGUUUUAAUAAAGAAAGAGCUUAUGGAAGAAAAAGUUUUUGUAGAAGAUGCCAAGGGCAGAGAAGUGUGGGAAGAGAGAGGGGAAGUGUCCUCUAAGUGCAUGGCCCUUAUGGGGAGCUCUGCUCCCCAUUUCCCAUUUGUCCUUAGCCUACUUCUAGGAUUUCAUAUAAAAAGGGUGGAUAAGUACAGGGGCUUCUCUUGGCGUUCCUUUAAGGCAGCUUUAAGGUCGUUAAGGCUGUACUGAACACUUGACUCUGCACUGGAGCGGAAAAAGGAGUUAUCAGAAAGCAUUUCUUCCCUUUCCUUCUCUUUUAACUAUUACGUCAUGAAAUACAUGAUACACAAUACCAACUAUAAUUUAUAGUAGUAAAAUGGACGCCUAUGAACCUACAAUCCAGCUAAAGAAAUCUAAUAUUCGUAUUAGAUUAACAUUAAUAACAGCUCUGUCAUGUCUUUCACCCAUCACAUCUCCCUCCUUUUGUCCUGCCUCCACAGGAUGUAUUUCUAUUUCUAUAUCUGUAUAGAUAGGUAUGGCUGUAUAUGUAUCUCCUUAGCAUAAUUGAUUGUGCUUGUUUUAAACUUUUCUACAAAUGCUAUGAUAGGAAUAUAUCUAUGCUUUUAUGACUUUCUUUCUUCUAAUUAUGUUUCUGAGAAUUGACCAUAUAGAUUUAUUCAACAGUAGUGGAUUCAUUUCACUGUUAUACAUUAUCCUGGUGCAGACAGACUCUUAUUUACUUAGCAGUUCUCCUUGGAUGGGCAUUUGUGUUAUCUGCAGCUUUUGGCUGUUACUCACAGGACAACUCUGUGCAUCUUGGUACAAGCCUUUGGGACACGUGGGCAGGAGCAGAAUUGCUGGUCGUUGGAUUGCCACAUCUUCAUCUUUAUUAGAUAAUGCUAAUUUAUUUUCCAGAGUGAUUUUAGCUAUUUAUACUUCCUCUGAUAUUGUAUAGAAAUACCACUGCUCCACAUCAUCUCCAGUACUUGACAUCAUCAGCCUUUUAGAUUUUUGCUGCUGCUGUUGGUGUGAAAUGGUAACCCACACUGGUUUUCAUCUGCAUUUCCCUAAGGACGAAUGUAAUUGUUCUUUCAUAGGUCAAUUGGCCCUUUGUAUUUUCUCUUCCCUAAAAUGUCUGUUCGUGCGCCCAUUUUUCUAUUGAGUUUUCUUUUUCUUAAAAAUUCUUUGUUAUAUUCUGGAGAGUAAUCCUCUGUCUUUUUAUGUCUGGCAAGUAGCUUUUCCCAGCUUGAAGCUAUUAUGAGUCUUUUGAUUAACUCCAUUUCUUAAUUUUAAUGGCAUUUAAAUUAUUAAUUAUUUUAUUUACAGCUUUAAUGUUUUUUAUUUGGUUCAAGAAAUCCUUUGUAACCUAAAGGUCAUGAUCGUUUUAAAUAGGUCUUAAAGUUUUGUCUUUAAGGAGUCAGGCACUGGGUGUUAUAUUUUUCCACAUGAAAACCAGUUAUUCCAGCAUCUCCCCUUGCCACAGUGAUCUGCAAUAUCAUUUAUGUCAUAUAUUGUUACCGUAAAUGAAUGGUCUUAUUUUAGGUUCUCAGCUGUCGUCCAUUUAGAUUAUAUACGUCUUUUUUUUUAAUACAAAUAAUACACUGCCUUUAUUACUGUAGCUUUAUAGAAAGUCAUAUCUGGUAAAGAAAAUUACCCUUCCUUAUUCUUUAAAAAUUUAUUGGGUAUUUUGGGUAGGGUAUUUCCUAGUAAGUUUUAGAAUCAAUUUGCCAAAGUCCAUAAACUUAGAUUAGUAUUCUAUUAAAUCUGUGAAUCAAUUUAGGAAGAAUUUACAUUUUUAUGACAUUAUUUCCCUAUCUUUGAAGAUGGUAUAUCUUUCCACUUACUUAGAUCUACGUUAAUAUCUUUCAGUGAAGUUCUGUGGUUUUCCUCAUUAAGGUAUUUUAUAUUUUAUAAAAGAUAUUCUUAGGUACUUUACUUUUUUUGUCACCAUUAUAUAUGGUUUGUUAAAAAUACAUUAUCAAACUCUUUGUGGCUAUUGCACAGAAGUAAGAUGCAAUUACGGUAUAUUAAUGUUAUAUCCAGCAAACCUGCUAAACUUAAUUUUUAUUUUUUUAAAUUAUACUUGAUGUACAAUACUGUGUUAGUUUUAGGUGUACAGCAUGGUGAUUUGGCAAUCAGAUGCAUUAAGAAAUGAUCACCACAAUAAGUCCAGUAACCAUCUGUCACUAUACGAAGUUACCAGGGUAUUAUUAUUUUUUAUGCUGUAUGUUACUGUGCCUUACUUUGUAACUGGAAGUUUGUACCUCUUGGUCCCCUUCAUUUAUUUCACCCAACACCCACUCCCUCCCCUCUUGCCAUCACCAAUUUGCUCGAUCUAUAAGUCUGUGUAAUGUUAAUUAUUGGUGUGUUAUAUUUGGGUUUCUGUGUAUAGUUUUCUGUGGUUAUAUCAUCUAUGAGCAAUGGCAGUUUGGCUUCUUGCAUUCUUUUCUUUGUAUCUUUUAUUCAUGUUUCUGUUAUAACCGUACUGGUUGGAAUCUUCAGUGCAAAGUUGAAUGGAAGUGUUGACAGCGGGUAUCCUCUUGUUUACGAUUUGAAAUAAUUACUUCUAAGGUUUCACUACGUGGAGCCGCUUUUGCAUAGGUAGACUUUGGUCAAGGAAGUCUCUUUCUAUUCCUAGUUUGCUAAGGGGUUGCUCUUUUAUGAAUGUUUUACUGUGUUACACUCUUUUCCUACAUCUAUUAGGAAAUUAUGAUCAUAACGUUUUUCCAUUUUGUUUUGUGAAAGUGGUGAAUUAAUCAACGUUCUCAUGUUUAGCUUCUCCCAUAUUCCUGGGAUAAACUAUAAACUCAGCUUCUUUGAGAUUGAACUGUAUGGUUACCAGUGUCUUUGCUUACCAUUUCUUGUUGCAUCACCAAUGUUCCUUCCUGGUUCAUUUUCUUUCCUCCUGACAUGUAUCUUUUAGAAUUCCUUUUAGUUAGGGCCUAUGGACAUUAAGCCCUUUCGGCUUUUGUUCAUUUUUUAAAUGUCUUUCUUUUUCUUAGACAUGGAAAUUGUAGAUAAAAUUCUUUUCCUACUGUCUUCCACAUUAUUAAAGUUGUCAGUAUGAUAGCGCAGGACUGGGAGUCAGCCCUGGACACAAGGUCCAGCCUUGUAAUUAAAUUAUAUUGUGACCUUAGGCGAAUCCUUUCCUAUCUCUGGGACUUAGUGUUUCCUCACAAAAUCAGAGAACAUGCUAAGGACCCUCGAGCUCUCACAUUUGACGAACAGGGGCAAAUACGUGUAUGUACAGUGUUAAAAUAUGGAGUAGUGGGGGAGGCAAAGAACAUAAAGUGAGUAACCUGAGAAAAUAAGAGAAAGGAAAGCCAAGGGGGCAUGUUACAUGCUCUUCUUUGUGUAAAACUUUCUGGCACGAAUUCCCCGCACCCCAGCGACGCUCCUCUCAUCUGUUACUUCAGAGAUGCCCUUUGUGUGCACCUGGCACCUUUGAAAAUGGCAGCGCCUCACAGAGCUCUGGCCCCUGGGCUCUCAGACCCUUCGGCAUUAGUAGGCUGAAACGUGAGGCUGGAGAGCCAACCCAAAGCCUAAGUGGGAAGGAGAAGGCUCUCCUUUCCUGAACGUCACGGAAGGAGUUUCGUGUUCUCUCUACUGCUAGUCACUCUUGAGUCAGACUAGGCUGGGGGUCGGGGUACUGGUUUCUCUUGCAGACCUCUUCCUUUAAAAAAGGGGAAAAAAUAUGUAUGGUCAUUUGGGUUGUUACCUUUAUUUCUCACAUUCUUAACACUUUCAUCUAUAAAAUGAGGGUAAACUCAUUCCAGAUCACAGGGCUAUUAAUAGUAAGCAGUGAAGCCUUUAAAAAAUGCUGAGUUACACUCUCCCAUGUGUCUGAUUCUUCCUUUCUUCUUCCCAGUUAUUUGCAUCCAUACCAUCAGCUCUACUAGACUACAGACUUCUUGAAAGCAGGAGCGAUGUCUGAUUUAUAUCCAUCUCCUUCAAGAUGCCUAGCACAGAGCAGAGUCUCAGGGUCGGAAAAGUAUGCAUAGCACUGAUGGAGUAAAAGUGCGAAAAGUCAACCAGCUGUUAGCGCUGCAGGUGGAGAAUCCCUCAUUCCUACCCCCACCCCUCACAGGAACUGACUGACUUGGAUCCGACUUUAAAAGGGAAAAGUUCUUCCCCUGAAAGGUUAAGACAAAGAGUGGUCAAGUAAUUCUAGAACACGUCUAACUUGAAGGUCUGUGCUCAAGAGUGGAGAAGAGUAGGUGUUUCGUACGCUUGUUGGCAUCACAUUUGCUUUGAGAGACGUUCCCUCUCUCAGGAGAACAUAUGGAAAGCAAUGAGGUAAAAAAAAUGAAUCACAGUAAAAGAGGCUGGAAGGAAGGAGGCGGGAGCUGUCCCACUCAGAAAGAAUUCCACACGCAGGCAAGUAAACGUAGUGAGUUUAUUGGAUUUCUAAAUAUAAUGACGUAGUUGCGAUUCUUUAACAGAAAAAAAGGAAUAUAAUUUUCAUAUGUAUUCUUAUACAGCGUUGGAAAAACAUAAUUGAUAGAAAAAACUGAUAGAAAGUAAAUAGAGACGUGAUUUAAUAUAGUUGGUAAUGUAUAAAUACAAAAGAAAAUAC
Molecule: non-coding RNA, 6976 nt
Organism: Vicugna pacos (alpaca)
Lineage: Eukaryota; Metazoa; Chordata; Mammalia; Artiodactyla; Camelidae
Source: RefSeq, a predicted model, not a curated record